UCCUAUCACAAAGAGAUGAAAUUGGUAAAAUGUCGAUUAGGAUUAUAUAGGUAAUAGUCCUGAAGUGAGUGAACAUUAAACAAUAAAUACAUGUGUAAAAAUUGUGUGCAUUGAUUUCAAUUUAGUUUCCAACAUAAUUUUGUUCUCAUUUCCUUUUAUACGAGGAAUCCUGUGGAAAAAUCAUAAUGGAGGGCAAAAGCAUCUUUGGAGAUUUUUCCCCUAUGGGCCACGAUAUCAUUUGAAGAAGGCAGGAGGGAAGGCUUGUUAGUUAAAUUUUGUCGACAUGUUGAUUAAAAUUAGGGUCAGUUAUGAUAAUUUUGAUGAAGUUUUGAGAAUUUUUUUAAAGUUUCGUUGCUCGCCCUUUAAGUUGUAAAUGUUGCCUCUUCUAAGCAAAUCCCUCCCUUCCUGUGAAGCAUCUUCGGCAGGAGGUGCCGGAAGGAAUUCAAAUUUCGCGGCAAAACUAACUCAACUCUCGAACGACAUCACUCAUCAGUUAUUUUACCGGUUAUUUUUUGAGGUUAAGUUUUCCUGUUAGUCUAGUUAUCAACAUUUCGCCUUCGGAUUUAAUUUUUCACGCCCUUUCAAAUCGAGAAAAAUAAUGUAAUACUGUUAUUAUCUGCUUCGUAAUUAAAUGCUUACAGUUCUGUUAAUAAUUAAUGGUAUCCACUCACUUUAUUUCAGUCGUGAAGUGAAAUUUUCUCAAUUUCUUCAACCCAGUUCCUCAUGCUGUCCUAUUGAAGAAAAUGAAUUCCAGUAGCCUUUUCAAAUCCUCUUUUCGAGGACUGGAUGACAGUUUGAGUUCCUUACCAUCAAGUGUCCAAGCCAGCCAUGCUCGUCGGGAAAAAGCUCUGGCCAGCAGUUUCCUCAAUGACUCUGAUGUUUAUUCUCAUCGACCAUCCAAGUACCUGAAUGAUCUUUCAAUCACAAUAAAUCAGAAUGAAAUGUCAGAGCUUUUUGACUCUACUGUCGCUACCACUACUACCAACAACCUGAUACGGGUGAGAUAUUGAAAUAUUUUUUUAUUUUGCUGAAAGAGGCCUCCAAGCAAAUGAACAGGUGCAGAAUGUUAGCUCAAGAUUAUGCCUGACAUUGAGAGGCUUAUGUUCUAUCAAUUAUUUCUAACAAAAAUAUUAGCAAAGAAAAAAAACA
RNAcentral lists this long non-coding RNA (1149 nucleotides) under Bemisia tabaci. Its description in RNAcentral is "lncRNA ENSSSA2NGG012058". Lineage: Eukaryota; Metazoa; Arthropoda; Insecta; Hemiptera; Aleyrodidae. The record is from RNAcentral.